AGUGAACGCUGGCGGUAGGCCUAACACAUGCAAGUCGAACGGCAGCACAGUAAGAGCUUGCUCUUACGGGUGGCGAGUGGCGGACGGGUGAGGAAUACAUCGGAAUCUACUUUUUCGUGGGGGAUAACGUAGGGAAACUUACGCUAAUACCGCAUACGACCUACGGGUGAAAGCAGGUGAUCUUCGGACCUUGCGCGAUUGAAUGAGCCGAUGUCGGAUUAGCUAGUUGGCGGGGUAAAGGCCCACCAAGGCGACGAUCCGUAGCUGGUCUGAGAGGAUGAUCAGCCACACUGGAACUGAGACACGGUCCAGACUCCUACGGGAGGCAGCAGUGGGGAAUAUUGGACAAUGGGCGCAAGCCUGAUCCAGCCAUACCGCGUGGGUGAAGAAGGCCUUCGGGUUGUAAAGCCCUUUUGUUGGGAAAGAAAAGCAGCAGGUUAAUACCCCGCUGUUCUGACGGUACCCAAAGAGUAAGCACCGGCUAACUUCGUG
This 492-nucleotide ribosomal RNA is filed under the name uncultured bacterium. RNAcentral describes it as "partial 16S ribosomal RNA". It matches the Rfam family "Bacterial small subunit ribosomal RNA", at positions 29 to 507 of the family's 1533-position model. The record is from RNAcentral.